UUGAUCCUGCGGAAGGUUGCUGCUAUUGGAGUCCGAUUUAGCCAUGCAAGUCACGGGGGCGUAAGCCACCGGCGAACUGCUCAGUAACACGUCGAUAACUUCCCUUUAGGUCAGGGAUAGCCUCGGGAAACUGAGAGUAAUACCUGAUAAGAAACGUCGUUUGGAACGAGACGUUUCUGAAAGGCAACGCCUAAAGAUAGGUCGGCGGCCGAUUAGGUUGUUGGUGGGGUAAUGGCCCACCAAGCCGAAGAUCGGUAGGGGUCUUGGGAGAGGGAGCCUCGAGAGGGAAACUGAGAUACUGUUCCCAGUUCUACGGGGUGCAGUAGGCGUGAAAACUUUACACUGUAUGAAAGUGUGAUAAGGGGAUUCCAAGUGCUCAUGCACAGCAUGGGCUUUUGUUAAAGGUAAACACUUUGGCGAAUAAGUGGUGGGAAAGACCGGUGCCAGUAGCUGUGGUAAUUCCGGCGCCACGAGUGGCAACCCUGUUUAUUGGGCCUAAAGCGUCCGUAGCCGGUUAUGUAAAUCUCUUGUGAAAUUGUAGGGUUUAACCUUGCAAAGUGCAGGAGAUAUUGCAUGACCUGGGACUGGGAGGAGUCAGAGGUAUUCUGGGGGGGGCGGUAAAAUGCUAUAAUCCUUGGAGGAUUAUUUGUGGUGAAGGCGUCUGACCAGAACAGAUCCGACGGUGAGGGACGAAAGCUAGGGGAGCGACUCGGAUUAGAUACUCGAUUAGUCCUAGCUGUAAAUGCUGCGAGCUAGGUGUUGCAUAUUCUUUAAGGAUGUGCAGUGUCGUAGUGAAGGCAUUAAGCUCGCCGCCUGGGAAGUAUAGCCGCAAGGCCGAAACUUAAAGGAAUUGGCGGGGGAGCACUACAAGGGGUGCGGCGUGCGGUUUAAUCUAACUUAAUGUAGAGAACCUCACCAGGGUUGACGGCAGGAUGAAAGUUAGUCUGAAGGGCUUACUUGAUGAGCCGAGAGGAGGUGCAUGGCCGUCGUUAGCUCGUGUUGUGAGAUGUCCUGUUAAGUCAGGCAACGAGCAAGACCUGUACCCAUAAUUGCCAUAGGUAGUGUUUGCACUGGAUCUGGAAUGUUAUGGGGACUGCCUGGGAAACCAGGAGGAAGGCGCAGGCUACGGUAGGUCUGUAUGCCUCGAAUACUCUGGGUUACACGCGCGCAACAAUGGUAGGAACAAUGGGACGCAACUCCGAAAGGAGAAGCUAAUCCUCCAAAACCUAUCCUAGUCCGACUCUGGUGAAUGUGUCCCUGCUCCUUGCACACACCGCCCGUCAAACCAACCGAGCAGGGUUUAGAUGAGUCUUAGGAUAUUUGCCUAAUCCGAAUCUAAGCUCAGUGAGGUGGGUUAAGUCGUCACAAGGUAGCCGUAGGGGAACCUGCGGCUG
This 1394-nucleotide ribosomal RNA is filed under the name metagenome. Its description in RNAcentral is "bacterial SSU rRNA". It matches the Rfam family "Archaeal small subunit ribosomal RNA". The record is from RNAcentral.